CCUCUGGUGCAUGACAAAUUCAUUUUCUUGAUUGUGUUCUUUCUUUUUUUUGUUGCCAGAUGUUUAAUCAAAUCUGCAGACCAGAAAGUCUCCUCUUUUGGGCUAAACUGCUGAAUCCUUUUAAAGAUCCAGCCUGUCGUUUGUGGAGCCAAACCUGAAGGUUCUCAGCUGUACGCAAUUCUCCCUUUCCAGGAGGAAUUCCACCGGCAGGAACCUCUUCUGCUCUGGGUGGAUGGAUGUAGGACACGGAUUUGGGCGUGAACUGUUGACUGAUGUGUGUGCCUCCA
This 287-nucleotide long non-coding RNA is filed under the name Naja naja (Indian cobra). RNAcentral's name for it is "lncRNA (ENSNNAG00000007347.1)". Lineage: Eukaryota; Metazoa; Chordata; Lepidosauria; Squamata; Elapidae. The record is from RNAcentral.